GACGAGGGAUGCAAGCGUUAUCCGGAUUCAUUGGGUUUAAAGGGAGCGUAGGCGGACUGAUAAGUCAGUGGUGAAAUCUUUGGGCUUAACCCAGAAACUGCCAUUGAUACUGUUAGUCUAGAGUACAGUUGCCGUUGGCGGAAUAUGACAUGUAGUGGUGAAAUACUUAGAUAUGUCAUAGAACACCGAUUGCGAAGGCAGCUAACGAAGCUGUAACUGACGCUGAGGCUCGAAAGUGCGGGGAUCAAACAGG
RNAcentral lists this ribosomal RNA (253 nucleotides) under uncultured bacterium. Its description in RNAcentral is "partial 16S ribosomal RNA". It matches the Rfam family "Bacterial small subunit ribosomal RNA", at positions 524 to 776 of the family's 1533-position model. The record is from RNAcentral.